AUUGAACGCUGGCGGCAGGCCUAACACAUGCAAGUCGAGCGGUAGCACAGAGAGCUUGCUCUCGGGUGACGAGCGGCGGACGGGUGAGUAAUGUCUGGGAAACUGCCUGAUGGAGGGGGAUAACUACUGGAAACGGUAGCUAAUACCGCAUAANGUCGCAAGACCAAAGUGGGGGACCUUCGGGCCUCAUGCCAUCAGAUGUGCCCAGAUGGGAUUAGCUAGUAGGUGGGGUAACGGCUCACCUAGGCGACGAUCCCUAGCUGGUCUGAGAGGAUGACCAGCCACACUGGAACUGAGACACGGUCCAGACUCCUACGGGAGGCAGCAGUGGGGAAUAUUGCACAAUGGGCGCAAGCCUGAUGCAGCCAUGCCGCGUGUGUGAAGAAGGCCUUCGGGUUGUAAAGCACUUUCAGCGGGGAGGAAGGCGNUNAGGUUAAUAACCUNNNCGAUUGACGUUACCCGCAGAAGAAGCACCGGCUAACUCCGUGCCAGCAGCCGCGGUAAUACGGAGGGUGCAAGCGUUAAUCGGAAUUACUGGGCGUAAAGCGCACGCAGGCGGUCUGUCAAGUCGGAUGUGAAAUCCCCGGGCUCAACCUGGGAACUGCAUUCGAAACUGGCAGGCUAGAGUCUUGUAGAGGGGGGUAGAAUUCCAGGUGUAGCGGUGAAAUGCGUAGAGAUCUGGAGGAAUACCGGUGGCGAAGGCGGCCCCCUGGACAAAGACUGACGCUCAGGUGCGAAAGCGUGGGGAGCAAACAGGAUUAGAUACCCUGGUAGUCCACGCCGUAAACGAUGUCGAUUUGGAGGUUGUGCCCUUGAGGCGUGGCUUCCGGAGCUAACGCGUUAAAUCGACCGCCUGGGGAGUACGGCCGCAAGGUUAAAACUCAAAUGAAUUGACGGGGGCCCGCACAAGCGGUGGAGCAUGUGGUUUAAUUCGAUGCAACGCGAAGAACCUUACCUGGUCUUGACAUCCACAGAACUUUCCAGAGAUGGAUUGGUGCCUUCGGGAACUGUGAGACAGGUGCUGCAUGGCUGUCGUCAGCUCGUGUUGUGAAAUGUUGGGUUAAGUCCCGCAACGAGCGCAACCCUUAUCCUUUGUUGCCAGCGGUNNGGCCGGGAACUCAAAGGAGACUGCCAGUGAUAAACUGGAGGAAGGUGGGGAUGACGUCAAGUCAUCAUGGCCCUUACGACCAGGGCUACACACGUGCUACAAUGGCAUAUACAAAGAGAAGCGACCUCGCGAGAGCAAGCGGACCUCAUAAAGUAUGUCGUAGUCCGGAUUGGAGUCUGCAACUCGACUCCAUGAAGUCGGAAUCGCUAGUAAUCGUAGAUCAGAAUGCUACGGUGAAUACGUUCCCGGGCCUUGUACACACCGCCCGUCACACCAUGGGAGUGGGUUGCAAAAGAAGUAGGUAGCUUAACCUUCGGGAGGGCGCUUACCACUUUGUGAUUCAUGACUGGGGUGAAG
Molecule: ribosomal RNA, 1465 nt
Filed under: Klebsiella pneumoniae
Lineage: Bacteria; Pseudomonadati; Pseudomonadota; Gammaproteobacteria; Enterobacterales; Enterobacteriaceae
Description: 16S ribosomal RNA
Rfam family: Bacterial small subunit ribosomal RNA
Source: RNAcentral